AGUGAACGCUGGCGGCAGGCCUAACACAUGCAAGUCGAGCGAACCUUUCGGGGUUAGUGGCGUAUGGGUGAGUAACCCGUGGGAACGUGCCUUUAGGUUCGGAAUAACUCAGGGAAACUUGUGCUAAUACCGAACGUGCCCUUCGGGGGAAAGAUCUAUCGACUUUAGAGCGUCCUGCGUCUGAUUAGCUAGUUGUUUGAGUUAAUGGUUCACCAAGGCGACGAUCAGUAGUUGGUCUGAGAGGAUGUUCAGCGACAUUGGGACUGAGACACGGCCCAAACUCCUACGGGAGGCGGCAGUGGGGAAUCUUGCGCAAUGGGCGAAGGCCUGACGCAGCCAUGACGCGUGAAUGAUGAAGGUCUUAGGAUUGUAAAAUUCUUUCACCGGGGACGAUAAUGACGGUACCCGGAGAAGAAGCCCCGGCUAACUUCGUG
This 434-nucleotide ribosomal RNA is filed under the name uncultured bacterium. RNAcentral describes it as "partial 16S ribosomal RNA". It matches the Rfam family "Bacterial small subunit ribosomal RNA", at positions 29 to 507 of the family's 1533-position model. The record is from RNAcentral.